Long non-coding RNA from Cygnus olor (mute swan), 1475 nucleotides. RefSeq lists it as uncharacterized. NCBI's taxonomy places the organism in Eukaryota, Metazoa, Chordata, Aves, Anseriformes, Anatidae. The transcript is spliced from 3 exons. The record is from RefSeq and is a predicted model, not a curated record.
GCAAGAAAGGGUAGUAAUAAGAUUACACCUAAUUGCCUUAGCAUCCACUUAACUGUUUUACAUACGUGCCUCAGAACAAAUGUUUGUGGAGUGUCUAGACGGGUGUUUACAAAUGUGUUAGCUAGCUCCGGCUAAUUGGGGAGCAAUUAACGGCAGUUAAAGUGCUGGGAAGCCUAGACAAAGCCGGAGAGCGCCUCGGGUUUGGGGCCCGGGCUUGCCUCCUGUGCCUCCGGGGAGAAGGCUCAGACUCCGCCAGGAGGAGGCUCGCUUCCUUCUGCCUGCCACCAGGGAGGAGGGUCUCUGAGGGGAAGGGGAAAAGGAGGACGAAGGGAGGUCCCCGCCAAGCCAGGCAUGUGGCUCCCAUCCUCAUCCCCGCUGCCCCGUGGGCACCGGAGGGCUGGGAGCCACAGGCGGCCUCCCUCCUGCCCGGCCUCGCCGGCCUCCGCUGCCACAUGCCUCCGCCCGGCCGGCACUGUGUCGUCACUCUGACAUCACUGUGACGUCAUGACAUGCUGGGAGACGGGCCUGUGACGUCACACCGACACCAGGCCAAAACGAGGAGGCAGGAGGGCGGGCGGUGCAGACCCCGGCGUGGGUCGAAGGGGAAGGCUGCGGCGUGCUGCCAUGUCGUGCGGCGAGGCCCGGCCUCCUCAGGGACGUGCGGCCUCCGAGCACCGGGAGCAUCCCAGCGGGCGCCGGCGGGACCAGAGAGACAUUAAGGAGGUAUGCCAGACUCUGGUCUGGAAGACCAGCAAAGAACAAACUUGGAAAUGCAGAGACAUGCCCUUAGUUUGGAGGUGGUCGCUUAUUUCGAAUCUUGUUAAAGCAAAUUUCCUGUAGUCAAAAAUCCAAUGGAAGAUCUCUGUGCUGAUUUGGAAAACAAUUGUGAAUUGUGGCCAGUGUUCAGAAGCUGCUGUGAAGACACUGAUGUAGUAAGGCAAGGUCAUUAAAUCCUGGUGUGUCUCAUUCAAAUGGGAAUAACCUGAGACUGUGCGGAAGAGAAAAACAGCUAGACAGCCACACACACAGCUGGUGACUAUUUCCUUCGGAGAAGGAGGAAGGAUAUCUUCUACCAGAAGAACAAAGAUGUUGGGAGUUACUAUGAAGUCAUGCUACAUGUUCCAUUACAGAUCAUGUUUGUCCAUCCCUGGACAGAUGAUCUUGUCCAGAAGCAGUUUCUAAACAAUUGUAGCUGUGGUCCACUUAAGGUACAGUGAAAGCUGUGAGUAUUCAUCUUAAAAUUCAGCCUGUGAACUGCAGAAGUUUAGGAGCUUUUUAUGAGCAUCUCAAGUCUCUCUGCAUCAGGACAAAGGCAGAACAUUUUAAGUUAACGUGAUGGCUGUCAUCUUUACUUUCAAGCCACAGCCUUCAGGGAGAAUUAAGAACCAGAAGAAUCCUGGUUACACAGGGGAGCAAAGAUGUACGUUUUGAUAGUGGCAGGGUCCAUUUCAAUUGUGAAACCACAGAGGAGGAAG